AAGUUUCACAAAUCAGGUGUUAAAUUAUAAUAAUAAUAAUAAUAAAAUAUAUACUCUUCUCUCCUCAAUAACUUUCAUGUAUCUAUUACUCACCUAUCAAUUUCUCUCCCAUUCCCAAAUCUACCAUUACCGCAACCACACCAUAUGUCCAUUUUCUUCAUCCACCACCACCAUGAAUGCCUUCUCCACCAUCAAUCUUUGUCCCAUCUCUCCCAAAACUUUCAUAAAGGCCAAAAUCUUCAAAAAGGCCAAAUUAUCACAUGUGCUUCAGAAAAUACUUCCUUUCUCUUUUAAAGCAACAAGUGCUCGGUCCUAAUACUUACGCCAUCAAUUUGACAUUGAUGAUUGUUGUACGAAAGAGAUCACCUAGGUGUUUUUCGGGCUCAGUUCCUCCAAUAAUCGACACCACUUUGAAAAACAAUCCAAACUCCCUUCAACCACUCCUUCACUUACAGUUGCUUUUUGUUCACCCACUUAGAAAUCACAAAGGAAGUUAUAAUCACAAUGAUGAAGUAACCACACAGGCAAUAGAGUGAAUGAAAACAGUAGGCAGAGACACAAAGAGAAAGUCACCCGUUUUCAAACACAAACACACACACCUCGAGAAGAGAGGCAGAGAAUGAAUUCAUAUAUCCAAGUGAAGGGGACGACCAAGUUAAGUGGGGGAAUUAGGGUAUAGUAAUGGUUCAAGGCCCAAUAACCAAAUAAAUGGGCUAUUAAGUGGGUUUCCAUUUAUUAACCGUCCAAAUAAUUGGAAACGGGCUAUGAGCAGCACUAAUUAAAUUAGGCUGCUUCAAAAUGGUCCAAACAAUUUUAGGUUAGGUCAUUUUAUUGAUUUGUCAAUUUACCGUUUGGUCAUUUGGUCGAUGUCGACUGAAAAAAUAUACUAAGUUACAUCACAGUUCGAGAGGUCGUUUGAUAACAAUUUGCUCAACAAACCUCUACUUUGGUGUCAAAAGAUCUGUAAAGAAAAUAUUAUCACUUGUUAGUAAUACUUCAAUAUAGUGAACAGAUAAAAUUGAAAAUUAGUUACCUCCACCAAUAUUUAAAAGAUCUCCUCAACUUCUAACACUAACGGUAGCGCCUUUGCUCACGUCAGAAGGAUUAUAAUGUGUAUGUACCUUUUCAUUUCUUUCAACUUCUUGUGACACAAUAUCUCUAAUAAAGUGUUUCUGAUUCGAUCAUGGAUAGUGCAACUACAUGUUGCAACUGUGACUUCCAAUUCAUGCAAGAGUUAGACAAAGUAAACACAUAGGAUGAAGUGAAUUUUCUAUUAUCUCUAUCCCCACAAAGUCUGCAUCUACAAAACCUUUCAAUUUCACACCUUCUUUAUUAGUACUAAACUUUAAACCUACAUCACUAGUUUUCUUUAAAUAACUUAACAUUCAUUUUAAGGCUUCCCAAUGCUCGGGACCCAGAUUAGACAUGUACCUACUAAAGGUAUUAAUAGAAAAGGCUAGAUUCGAUCUAAUUCAAACAAUCAAAUACAUAGUACAACCAUCACAUUAGAGUGUGGGAUCCUAUUUAAGUAUUCUAUUUCUUUUUCAAUACACGACGCUUGGUCUUUAAAUAAUACAAAAUGAUUAGCUAAAUGUAAUGUAAUAGAUUUGCAAUCAUGUAUGUCAAAUCAUUUCAACACUUUUCGAAACAUAAGAUGACUGAUGCAGAAACAAAGCAGAGUUUGACCUAGUUUUUUCAAUUUUCAUACAUAGGGUUUUCUUUGCUUUAUGUAAAUCUUUCGUAUCAAAUUCAUCAUUCAACUUUAUUUUUAUCUUACUUAUCCAUUUCGGUGAUGAACCAAUUAAGAGUAUAUCAUCCACAUACAACAAUAAAAACACAUAGUCAUUGUUGGUAUCAUUAUAUUGAAAAUACAGGCAAUGAUCAAACUUACUCAUUUGUAACACUAUAAUGAGCGCAAAAAAAUCAAAUCUUUUAUACCACUAUCUAGGCGAUUGUUUUAGGCCAUAUAAGGAUUUUUUUCAAGAAACACACGUGAUCAAGUUUUAGUUUAUCUCUAAAAUCUCUUGGUUGAUUCAUAAAUAUUUGCUCAUCGUGUUCACCAUGUGUAAAAAAGUAGUUUUUAUAUCAAGUUGUUCAAAAUUUCAGUCAAAGUGUAUAACAAACUCAAGCAUGACCCUAAUAGUAGUGUGCUCAACAACUGGUGAAAAAAUCUUGUUAUAAUCAACACUUUCCUUCCGUGUGUAUCCCUUGGCAACAACCUAGCUUUAAAUCUUAAGGAAAUUCCUUUCUAAGGAACUCAUCUCCUCUUUUAUUGUCUUAAACCAUUCUUCUGAUUUUUCACUUCUCAUUGUCUUCUGAAAAGUUUUUGGCUCUGUAUCAUCUUCACAGCUAUCGUGAGCAAAAGCUAACUCGAAUUCAUAUCCGAACCUCCCAUUCUACCUCGUUUGUCUCCUUUCUCUAUCCACUGCUAAGUUAUAGUCUGCUAAAUGAUUUUCUACUUCAGGAUACUCUUCUAUCACUACUAUAUUCUCUACUUCAGGUUGCUGAACCCGAGUCUCUACAUCAUUAGGGAUGGUAGAUAUAGAUGUGCUAAGUUUUCUAACUCCAUCUUCAACUGAUUCCUUUCCUCACCUUUCUCGUCUUCACUCAGAGGUUCAGAGUUAGUCUUAAGCCAAGGCAUCUCAACCUCAUUAAACAUGACUUCUCCUCACAAUGAUCUUAGUCCCCAUUUGGCCCCUAUCCCAUAGCCUGUAACCCUUAAUACCCUCUGAGUAACCUAAGAAAACAAAUUUCUUGGCUCUAGGUUCAAACUUUCCUUCACUCCGAUGGAAAAACAGCACAGCCAAAAGUUUUAAGCAUAGAUUAAUCACAUAGUUUACCUAUGAGUAAUAUCACCAUUCAAUGUAAAAGAUGGAGUCAAAUUAAUCAAAUAAUAAGCAGUCAUAGCGACUUUCCCUCAAAUGACUUUGGGACACCGGAACUUAACAUCGCACUUUAUCAAGUAUAGUUCUAUUUAUCCUCUUAGCUACCCCGUUUUGUUGGGGAUUGUAAGGAACAGACUUAUAUCUUGUUAUUCCAUUUUCUUUACACAUAUUAUUAAACUCAUUGUUGCAAAACUCUAGUCCAUUAUCAGUUCUAAAAAUCUGAUCAUUUUGCAAGUUUGGUUAUCAACUCGUCUUUUUCAAUUAUUAAAACCGUGAAAAGUAUGAGACUUGUCUUUUAAAAGAUAAACCCAUACCUUUCCACACCUUUCUCAUAUAAUCAUCAAUAAUAGACAAGAAAUACCUAUUUUCACUCGAGGUGAGAUUACUAGCAGCACCUUACAAGUCUGAAUGCACAUUCUUUAGUUUUUAUAAAUACUCGUGGAGAAGGAAGAUCUAUAGUGUUUACCAAGCACACGGUAAUCAUCAAAUGACAAAUUAGGCACAUAAUCGUUACCAAAAAGUACCAUUUUCAUUGAAGAGUUUGAGACCUUUAAUAUCUACAUGCGCAAGUUUAUUGUGCCAUUUAUGUAUGUGAUUGGUGUAGUAAUAUAAAUAUCAUUUCUCCUAGUUCCCUUAAUGGAAACAAGAGCAUCUUUAACCAAUUUUAAAAUUUCAUUUCCAAUUUUACCUGUAAAGUCAGCCUUUUCAAAUUUCUCCAUUGAAAUUAAGUUUUUAGAUAAUUCAGGAAUGUAUUUAACAUCUUUUAAAAUAUAAAUAAAACUAAUGUUGAACUUUAAUGUAAUCUUACCAAUCCCAACAACAGUAUAAGCAAAAUUAUCACAUAACACAACAUGUCCAUCAUUUGAUUCAUGCAAGUUUUCAAAUUAAUCUUUUUGUGAUGUUAAAUGAAAAGAUGCAUCAGAAUUAAGUAUCCACUCAUGCAAACGAGAAUUGAUAGUUAUAUUCAAUUCAUCAAGAUAAGCAUUAGGACUUGUAAUCGUAAACAGAAUUAAGUAGAAGAAAAUACAUUUACUUCAUCUCUCUUUUUACCCUUUAGCUUACCCUUCUUUCUAAAGAAUUCUUUUAUAAAAUGCCUUGUGUUCCCAUAACCACAACAUUUUCUAACCUUAGUCCUAGAUUUUGAUCUAGACACAUCAUUUUCUUUCUUUUUACUUUCAUUACUAUUUGAAUGGCCACCACCAUGUCAGUUUCUAUCCUUUCCAUGUGGAUCUUACCACAUUUCUUAUCAAGUUUUUCAACUUUAUUCUACAUCUCUUUACUUCUACGAAAGUCAAUGACAUUUUUAGGCAUCAAAGUGUCCCUAUCAUAUUUGAUCGCAUUUUUAACUUCCUUAUAAGUGUCGUGCAUGAAAUUAAGCAAGAUUAUAGCUUUAUAGAUUUUCGAUACCGUCUCAUCAUAGUUAACGAUAUCUUCGAGAAAUUUGUUAAAACUGAAAAACACUCAAAUAAGUAAAGUUUGUUUGGAGUAAAUUUGAGCGAAUACAAGCCUUUUAAUUUUUUCCAAAGUUCUUUUGUGGUUUUUAGUUUUCCCACUUCCCUCAAAAUAGCGUUAGACAAGUGUAAAAUGAUUAAAGUAUAAACAAGUUCAUCGACUUCUUCUUUUUGUUCUUUUAAAAAAUCAGCAAGAAAAUUGCAUUCAAUUGUUUUUGUAACCUUUUGUUAGACCAAAAUGCCUCUCAUAUUUUGUUGCCAUAUAGAAAAACUAUAUUUUUCGUUAAAAAUUCUCAAAUCAAAAUUGGGAGUCGUUAUUUUACGAAUCAAUUCAAAAUGUACAAAAUCACAAUCAAGCCACACAGAAGUAGUCUUAAGAUCAAAGAUAAUAUACACCGUUCUAGAUUCUCAGCGUCUCGUGAGAUUUGCAAUCUCAGAUUAAGAGAGUGUUUGAACAGGUAAGGUCUAGUUAUUCUAACGAAAUUAACUAGGUAACAACGAAGUAUGUUAAUCAAAAAUAAUUUCAACUAAAGCAAUUCUAAACAAAAUAUACCUCAAAGGUAAUAGAUGGAUUUCAUCAAAAUAAAAUACUCUAAUUUCUAGCACAAGCAAUGGUUAUCUCACAUUGUAACCCCAAAUCCUAUUAUUACUCUACAUGAUGAUGCGCUAGUGCUGAUAUUUAAUCGGGACAAGCCAAUUUACCAAAGUGGACCAUGUCUGAAGUUCUUAAAAUCGAGAUAUGUGAAUCUAAAGCUUUAGGACCACCACUAUUCGCCCUAAAAUUUCACCAAAUGUUCCAAUGCAAAUGACCAAUAAUUGCAGAUUGAGCUUUCAGGGACAAAAUCAUUCAAUUUUUUUCGUACAACCUGAAACACGAAAUUAAAAAUAUCAAUAUGUUCAGAAAAUUAGUAUGAGCAGCCUAUCUGAAAAAAACUUCACCAGAGUCGUCGUUACAUGCCUCGCCAGAGAUGCAUGCAUGCCGCCGUUGCGUCCCACGCAAGGAGGAGCACCUCCACCUGCUAAAGCUGGGUCUAGUCUUGGUUUGUUCGGAAUCCCAGCUUUCAGGUUCGAUCACUUCGAAAAAUGGCAUGAUUUUAGACGAUUUUUAGUUAAUUUCUGACUUGAUAUGCCCACACGAGGCUUUGAUGUCAAAUCUUGUGCGAAAGAGAAGAUCGUUAAGGCGUUUUUGGGCUCAAAUUCUCCAAUAAUCGACACCACUAUGAAAAAACCCAAACUCCCUUCAACCACCCCAUUUACGGUUGCUUUUUGUUCACCCACUUAAAACCCACAAAUGAAGCUAUAAUCACAACGAGGAAGUAACCACAAAGGUAGUAGAGUGAAUGAAAACAGUGGGCAAAGACACAAAGAGAGAGCCACCCACUUUCACACACACAUUGAGAAGAGAGG
RNAcentral lists this long non-coding RNA (5743 nucleotides) under Olea europaea (common olive). Its description in RNAcentral is "long non-coding RNA (OEUR_LNC004545)". The record is from RNAcentral. Lineage: Eukaryota; Viridiplantae; Streptophyta; Magnoliopsida; Lamiales; Oleaceae.